RNAcentral lists this ribosomal RNA (253 nucleotides) under uncultured bacterium. RNAcentral describes it as "partial 16S ribosomal RNA". It matches the Rfam family "Bacterial small subunit ribosomal RNA", at positions 524 to 776 of the family's 1533-position model. The record is from RNAcentral.
GACGUAGGAUCCGAGCGUUGUCCGGAGUUACUGGGCGUAAAGCGCGCGCAGGCGGACACGCGCAUCGGCGGUGAAAGCCCCCCGCUCAACGGGGGAGGGUCCGUCGAGAUGGCGUGUCUGGAGGCAGGGAGAGGCCAGUGGAAUUCCGGGUGUAGUGGUGAAAUGCGUAGAGAUCCGGAGGAACACCGGUGGCGAAGGCGGCUUCCUGGACCGACACUGACGCUGAGGCGCGAAAGCUAGGGGAGCAAACGGG